UACGGCUGCAUGAUAUAGGUAAAAAAGGUCAUUGCGCCUCCUGAGGGGCGUAGCUGUCUAAGACACUGCGUCGCAGUGCUUGAGGCGUCACUACAGACCCGGAUUUGAUCCCAGGCUAUAUCGCAGCUGGCCGUGACCAGGAGACCCAUGAAGCGACGUACAAUUGGCCCAAUGUUGUCCGGGCCUCCACCAUUCUUAAAUGGAAGAAGUUUGGAACCACCAAGACUCUUCCUAAAGCUGUCCACCCGACCAAACUGAGCAAUCUGGGGAGAAGGGCCUUGGUCAGGGAGGUGACCAAGAACCCAAUAGUCCCUCUGAAAUAGCUUCACAGUUCCUCUGUUGAGAUGGGAGAAUCUUCCAGAAGGACAAACAUCUCUGCAGCACUCCACCAAUCAGAUCUUUAUGGUAGAGUGGCCAGACGGAAGCCACUCCUGAAUAAAGGGCACAUGACCGCCAGCUUGGAGUUUGCCAAAAGGAAACUAAAGACUCACAGACCAUGAGAAACAAGAUCUGAUGGUCUGAUGAAACCAAUGUUGAACUAUUUGGCCUGAAUGCCAAGCGUCACGUCUGAAGGAGACCUGACACCAUCCCUACGGUGAAGCAUGGAAGUGGCAGCAUCAUGCUGUGGGGAUGUUUAUCAGCGGCAAGGACUGGGAGACUACUCAGGAUCAAGGGAAAGAUGAACGGAGCAAAGUACAGAGAGAUCCUUGAUGAAAACCUGCUCCAGAGUGCUCAGGACCACAAACUAGGGCGAAGGGUCACCUUCCAGCAGGACAACGAUGCAAAGCCCACUGCCAAAACAACGCAGAAGUGGCUUCAGGAGAAGUCUCUGUCCUUGAGUGGCCCGGACUUGUACCCGAUCAAACAUCUCUGGAGAGACCUGAAAAUAGCUGUGCAGCGACACUCCCCAUCCAACCUGACAGAACUUGAGAAGAUCUGCAGAGAAGAAUAGGAGAAACUCCUCAAAUACAGGUGUGCUAAGCUUGUAGCGUCAUACCCAAGAAGACUCGAGGCUGUAACCGCUGCCAAAGCUUCUUCAACAAAGUGUUGAUUAAAGGGUCCGAAUACUUAGUUUGGAGAGACCUGGCUCUGCGGUAGUUUCUCC
This is a long non-coding RNA of Oncorhynchus masou masou (cherry salmon), 1105 nucleotides long. RefSeq lists it as uncharacterized. The transcript has 3 exons. The record is from RefSeq and is a predicted model, not a curated record. NCBI's taxonomy places the organism in Eukaryota, Metazoa, Chordata, Actinopteri, Salmoniformes, Salmonidae.